CCAAACCCACCAAUUUUUCGAACUCUUCGUUUCGCCGAACGAAAGUGUCCACUACCCUCCUAGUACCCUAAGGAUGUAGGAACAAGUGUUACCCAAACAAAACGAAUAACGGAUUGCUCAAUCAUUAACCAUUUCGGGCUAGGGUUGAAGAAAACUCACCGAUUGCGAAGGAAGCUCUCUCAAUCUCCAAAUGGGAGCUAGAGUCCUUCCAAUCAAACCUAAACAAAGGUUCUAAACCCAUCAAUUUGGUUCCAAAGCCCUCAAAUCGAAAAUCCCCA
RNAcentral lists this long non-coding RNA (278 nucleotides) under Ananas comosus (pineapple). RNAcentral's name for it is "long non-coding RNA (ACOM_LNC043193)". Lineage: Eukaryota; Viridiplantae; Streptophyta; Magnoliopsida; Poales; Bromeliaceae. The record is from RNAcentral.